This is a non-coding RNA of Phascolarctos cinereus (koala), 5733 nucleotides long. The record is from RefSeq and is a predicted model, not a curated record. NCBI's taxonomy places the organism in Eukaryota, Metazoa, Chordata, Mammalia, Diprotodontia, Phascolarctidae.
UUUAAGAAUUGUAAUUUAAGAAAUGAGAACUUCCAAGUUUUGUCUCUGUUUAAAGGUAAGUUUUAGCUGGGAUUAUUUGGCUUUCACUUUAUGAAGUUUUAAAUUGUUAACUAGGCUAUUUGGAGUUAUUGUUUAAGUGAAUUACUGGUAGAAGUAUUUUUGUGUAUGUGUAAAGAAGCUAUGUAAUUAUGCAAAGAUAGAUUUUGUAGGAUCUCAUAAUUCUUGUCAAUCCUGUGCAGGAGUUUUGUGAGAUGGAACUCUUGCUGAUUGAGUGGCCCAUUGCAGACACCUCUGGACUAGAGAAAUUGGAUAGCUGGGAAUUUUAUGGUGAUAAUCAUUUGGGAUCAAUUGAGCCCCAAUAGGGGCCAGGGACCUGAGUUGCUUUUUCUUCCUGAGUGAGCUGAGAGUGCCCCUUCCUGUGUCCACAGCUAAAGCUGAUCAAGAGCAUUCUUAUGUUUAUGACCAUAAGAGCCUUUAACCCAGACACUACCUUGAUGAUGGCAGAGCAAACACAGAUAUCCUGGAUCUGACAUUUGCCUAUCCUAAUUAAAUUUCCUUUCUCAUGCUCAGGUUAAACAUUUGGAGGCCAUGAAACUGAGUAACCCAGAAGUCCUGAGUCAGGGUUUAAUGUCACUUAUCACUAGCUUGUGUUCUCUUUAACCAACAUUCAGGUCAACAAUGGUAAUUGGAAACUGUAAGCUGUUUUUAAGAAAUGGAGAUACUUUUAUGAAGAAGAUGUUUUGAUAAAAUCUUUGAUAUUCUUUUAGAGGGCCUACUAACUUUCCUUUUGCAAGCUAAUCUGUUGCAAUAAUUUGGUACUGAUAGCAAUUAUGUCCGAAUCUACUGUGACUUAUCUAAGUUUCAUUCCUAUGCAUGUUGUGUCCUUGAAUUGGCCUUAACCGGGUGCUUUCAGAGAAACAGAAUCAAUGGUUCUUGCUUCAGGUAGCAUAAGAAAGGGCACUGGUCUCUGGAAUGUAGGUCUGAAGGUUUAAUGCCACACUCUAAACUUUUACGAGGUGGGUGUAGAACUGAAAAGGUUAGGACAGCUAAAACAUCUUAGCAGAUUCUGGAAGUUUUUGAGAUUGAUCAUUAAGGAGUUUUCUAACACCUCCUUACAAUGCUGUCGCUCCCUUCCCCCACUCCCUCCCCUUGAGUCAAGAGGGUUUCUCUGUGUGGGGAUUCCAAACAGCUCCGGGUUUUUCUGUUAACCCCUUUCAUCCCAGAUCAGAUGAGGAAGAGAGUGUUUCACCCCCCUCUCCGCUGCUUGCAAAUUCACCUUUCCCUCCUGGCUAUAGGAAGGAGGGGGAUGGGCAGCAGCUACAGGCUGGAAGUAUCUUCCAGCACACAGCGGUGAGGAGAGAGUAAAAGAGGAUGGGUCAAGCCAAAGAAACCAGUCUGUGUCUAUACUUGGUAAAUCAGCCCAUCCUUCUAUCAAUACUUUUACAUGAUCUGGAAACACAGUUGUUGCCAUCUGAAGUUUAUUGUUUAUGUUACAGCUAAAACAAUUUAGUUAUCACUUAUGAAAAUUGUAAGAUUGUUGGUUACUGUUUCAAUGUUAAAAAUUAAAACUGGUAAUUGAUUACUCUGUGUGUGUGUGUUGAAAAAGAGCAGUCUGAGGACUGCCCCUGAGGGACUAAUCAGAAAGCACAACCCAUAGAAAUUCUAAAGUUAGAAGGGGUGGAUGAGGCAGCCCCUUCUGUGGGAUCCCUGCUGAUCCUCCUUAGUAUCCUAAACUUGCCCAAGAAGCUUGUUUGGAUCAUGGAAUUCCUAAACAAGAAACUUGGCCUGCUGAGAAUUUGCAAGUAUAUAGAAAUGACUUCUAAUGACUGGCUUUUGCACCAGAACAAGUUUAAAUUUGAGAAGGAAAGAUGUAAAGUGAAAUCUCUUAUGUAUGUGAGUCCUGGUAGAUCUUUACUGCUUAUUGCUACUCCAUGAGAAUAAAAUUAACUGUAUCUGGCUUUCAGCUGCAAUUUGUGAAAUUUGCUGUUUAAGGUAAAAGGCUCUUGGAACUAUAACUAAUUUUGUUUUGAGCUUGAAUUUGGGUACAGUUGUCCGCAUUAAAUCAGAAAUCUGAGAGAGAGAUGCCACAAGCACUUAAAAGGAAUGUCAUCCUGUACUGUUCUGCAUCUAGGAAAACCUGUAAGGACAAUCUUAACCUUAAUCUAGGAUGGGAUCCUCCUGGCUCAGUUUCCCCAUUGUGUUCCUUUGAGAAGGAAUGUUUCCCACCUGACUAUUCCUGAGUCUGGCUAUAAGGAGAAACAGAUACUGCAUGAUAACUAGAACAUGUGUAGAAAUGUAUGCAAACUACUUGAGAGUCACCUUAAGAUGUUCCCUUUGUUUAAAAGGAUUGUAAGAGCAGUAGUAUCUUUCCUGUAAUCAGUCUCCUACUGCUACCAAUGCGAGAUUCUAUUACAACACCUUGUGACUAAGGAACUUUGUGAUAUUUAGGAAUUCUGUGAUAACUAGGAAUUUAGUUUCUUGAUAAUACGCUGGAAUUUGUGUUACUUAAGGACCUUUGCUCCAGCUUAGGGUUUUAUGAACAAGGGUGGAAAUGCACGCAAGGUAUUUGGGGCUCCCUUUGGAAAUGUUCCUUAGGCAAUGUGAGAUUAUACUCAUAUCCUAAACUUAUUAUUGGAACUUGUUAUCCAAAGACUUAAUGAGACUAAUGACUGACUGUUUCUAACUCCAGAUGUAACUAUCAAGGAAGGCUGUCUGAGCCACUGACCCAUGAUGCCAGCAGUCCUGUUAAGGGCAAGUAUGAACUGCAGCCUUUGAGGGGUCACAGCCUCUCCAACCUCAACCUAGUGAUGGAGGAGGAGGAGCUCUCGGAGAUGAGCAGCCUGAUGGAUGGUGGCCCAGCUGAGAUCACUGCUGCCUUCUCUUGGACCUCAGAUCUCUGCUUUCUGGACACCAGCUUUGUAGGUGCAGGUCCCUCCUAAGUCUGAGCCAGCCCCUCACAGAUCUGCUGCCUGUUCAGGCCAUUGGAUCUUAUCCUCCUUCUCUGACCAAGUGCUCCGUGAGCAGAAGACCAAGGUCUGACCCAGCAGGGAGCCUGGAGCCAGAGGGAAUGUCCCAUGGGAGCUGCAGACCUCCAGCCCAGUGGGGGAAAGGAGGAUAUUGAAGGAGACACACAGUGCUUGUCAAAGAGGCAUCAGGCUCAAAGCAAAGACACAAUGGAGUGACUUACUUUCUCUCCAAAAUCCACUUUUGAUAAUCUUCACAACAACUCCAUAUGGAGCUGGUAACAUUCCAGGAUGUGGCUGUGGACUUCACCCAGGAGAAGUGAGACUUCUUAGACCACCCUCAGAAGCAGUUGUACAAGGAGGUCAUGCUGGAGAAUGCCCAGAAGCUGCUCUCCCCGGGGCUGCCAGUUCCCAGGGAAGAUUUGAUCUCCUAUUAUGAGGAAAAGGAAGCACCAUGACUCCUGUACAUGAAGGCCUGAGGAGCUGCUGCCCAGAAGGAGAGAUUGGACCUGAAAUGAAAGCAACUACAGCAAAGCUAAGCAUUUCUGUGAAAGAAACUCAGGAGGAAAGUUUCAUGAGGAAUGGUCCUUGUGACUUCACUGGGAGACAAAUCUGUGCUACCUUUCGCACAAUCCACAGAGGAGAAAAACCUUAUGAUUGUCAUCAUUGUGGGAAAGUGUUGAGUCAACAGUCAUCCCUUAUUUAACAUCAAAAAAUUAAUCAUGGAGUGAAACCAAGUGAGUGUCAUGAAUGUGGUAAACUUUUAGUGAACACUCAUACUUCAUUAUACUUCAGAAAAUUCACAUUGGCAGAACACCUUAUGAAUGUAAUCAGUGUGGAAAAGCUUUCACACAGAGGUCCAGCCUUGUUAAACAUCAGAGACUCCACAAUGGAGAGAAACCCUUAUGAAUGUAAUCAGUGUGGAAAGGCUUCCACACAGAGCUCCAACCUUAUUGAACAUCAAAAACUCCACACUGGAGAGAAGCCUUAUGAAUGUAAUUAAUGUGGAAAUUCUAUCAUGUGUAAAAGUGAUCUUAGUCUACAUCAGAGAAUCCACACUGGAAAGAAACCUUAUGAAUGUAAUCAGGGUGGAAAGGCUUUCAGUUACUGCUCCAAUCUUGCUGUACAUCAGACAUCCAUACUGUAUACAAACCUUAUGAAUGUAAUCAGUAUGGAAAGGCCUUCAAAUGCAGGACCAGUCUUUCUGUCAAUGAGAGAAUGCACACUGGAGAGAAACCAUAUGAAUGUUAUCACUGUGGAAAAGCUUUCUGACUAAACUGGAAACUUGCUCUGCAUGAGACAAUCCACAUUGGAGAGAAACCUUACCAGUGUAAUUAAUGUAACAAGGCUUUCCCACUGAGCUCAAAUCUUGUUCAACAUCAGAGAACCCACAAUGGAGAAAUCUUAUGAGUGUUUAGAAUGUGAUAAAAUUUUAUGUACACCAUCUCCUUUCCAAACAAAUCUGAUGAAUGAAAAGUCCAUUUCUAGAUAAUCAUUUCAUUAAUUCUGGCUAACAUAAUUCUGGUUAAUAUAAUCAGUAGAAAAAAAGCAUUCAGGCUAAAAUCAUAUCUUAUUUCCCAUCAGAGAAUUCCACUGACAUUGAAAUCAUAUUCCUAUAAUGAACAUGAAAAGACAUUCAGAUGGUCUACACAGCUUGUUACAUUCCAGAAGAUUCAUCUCAGAAACAAGCAAACACUCUAUCAGAUCUAAUCCCCUAAAUCUAUUCAUCACUUCUACUUCAUAUCAGUAACUGGGGAAAAAUAAAAUACUAAAUAUGAAUACUAUGAAAAGAAAAUGCAGUCAGAAGGAGACUCACAUGUGACAAACAAGGAGGCCUAUGUUACUGCAUCCUGAGUACAUGGAAAGGACUGAGCCUUAAUCACUCAAUCAGCAUUUCUUCAGUUCAACUGAGACUGUUAAAGACCUUAGCUUGAAAAAGGCCAAGGUCCCUCACUGCAUCCUAGGCCAUCUCCAGUUUUCCCUGAUCUACAUCUUCCCACUGAAUCCAGAAGGCUUCAGGGGAGAGAAUGAGGCUGCUGACUUUGCACUGCCCUGACUCACUUAAAUCCAAUUCACUUCCAAGUCCUACCAUCAGCUUCCUGAAGGCAUGGUCCUCUUGGAGAACCAAGGACAAACAACAACACCCAAAGACACCAGCUUAUGGGAUAAAGAAACUGAGGCAAAUAGAGGAAUUGUGACUUGCCUACUGUCACCCAGGCAGAAAGUGUCUGUGCCUGGAUUUCAACUCAACUCUUUCUGACUCCAGACAUAGUGCAUUGUGCCACCCGGCUGCCUCAUGGUGGAAGAUAACUUUGCACCAGAGUGGAUGCUUCAAAUAGAGGAGAGAGGAGGAUAACAGACUUUUCAGACAGUGUUCCAGCGAGUCAUCUGGGAACAAUAUGGAUAGAAGAAUAGGUGGGCUGAGGAAUGGGGAUCAGGACACUCCAAUGACCAAUUACUAGUGUUGAUCUCACUCUGUUCCCCCACCUACUUUGUGUUGGGGCAGGAGCAAGUAGGAAAAAUCAGAGCAUAUCGUGGAGAAAAUAUAAUUAUUUCACCUUUUGGAACGUGGCCCCUAAAUUCAUUCCCCUGUGUGCCCUUUGACCCCAUAACAACCACUAGACCUAUAAACUAAAGAGUUAAAUGACCCAUAUAUACAAGAUGAAAUUAUUCUGGAUGUUUGUUGUUGCUGCAAAGAUCUGGAAAGAUGGUGCCUGUAUACUGGGAGUUGAUGGAAGAAAUGAUAGUCUAAGAAUAUAAUGGAAGAUCA